RNAcentral lists this ribosomal RNA (402 nucleotides) under bacterium. RNAcentral's name for it is "partial 16S ribosomal RNA". It matches the Rfam family "Bacterial small subunit ribosomal RNA", at positions 355 to 776 of the family's 1533-position model. The record is from RNAcentral.
UGGGGAAUAUUGCACAAUGGAGGGAACUCUGAUGCAGCGACGCCGCGUGAACGAAGAAGGCUUUCGAGUCGUAAAGUUCUUUUUAUGGGAAGAUAAUGACGGUACCAUAAGAAGAAGCCCCGGCUAACUACGUGCCAGCAGCCGCGGUAAUACGUAGGGGGCUAGCGUUGUCCGGAAUCACUGGGCGUAAAGGGUUCGCAGGCGGAAAUGCAAGUCAGGUGUAAAAGGCAGUAGCUUAACUACUGUAAGCAUUUGAAACUGCAUAUCUUGAGAAGAGUAGAGGUAAGUGGAAUUUUUAGUGUAGCGGUGAAAUGCGUAGAUAUUAAAAAGAAUACCGGUGGCGAAGGCGACUUACUGGGCUCAUUCUGACGCUGAGGAACGAAAGCGUGGGUAGCAAACAGG